Long non-coding RNA from Anthonomus grandis grandis, 784 nucleotides. RefSeq lists it as uncharacterized. The transcript has 2 exons. NCBI's taxonomy places the organism in Eukaryota, Metazoa, Arthropoda, Insecta, Coleoptera, Curculionidae. The record is from RefSeq and is a predicted model, not a curated record.
GCUUUCAGCAAUUUCUAUUUAGCAUGCAUGCAUUCUGAAACAUAAUAAGUCAGUUUUUCGCGUUUGACAGUUGCUUUUAAUGCUUUGCGUCAUUCGAAAGAAAAGUGUAUUUGUUUAGCGAGUUAUUUUCAAGUUUGUUUAGCGAGUUUUAGUGAGUUUUCUUUUUAGUUCAGCUUAGUGAAACUUUUUAGUUUGUUGAGUGCAACAGUGGUUGUUUAGCGUUUAAAGACAAAAUUUUUAAUAUUUUAUGUCACCUACUGCCACCCUGUUUAUAAUUUGCCAGGGAUUAUUUAUUUGACAUAUAAAUCUCAAAAAUGCCAAUAACUCGACGAACCAACUUAAGUCGUAGAACGCGAAAUGCUGCAAGCCAACAACAUAUACGGGCAAGUCAAACCAACAAGCAACGCGAGAUGCGAAAUGAAGUUGAAAGGAAUAGAUGGAAUAGGAAUAACCAAGAAAGUAGAAACGUUCCGUUCAGGUUUAAUCCAAAUCGAGCUGCAUUUAGUUACGAUGCAGCAAUCGAUUAUAGUUCGCAGCAAAUCGUUGCUAUUGGACAAAUGAACGUUGUGUGUCCACAUUGCAAGUCAAUGAACUUUAAAAAUGAAGCAUUUGGAUUGUGUUGUGCAAGUGGUCAAGUCAAAUUGACACCAUUGGUACCGCGUCCAGUGGCCUGCUCCCGUGUUGGUAAACCUUCCACAUUAUUUAUUUUCGCUCCAGGAAAAAAAACUAACAAUGUUGUGUAUCAAAAAGCGUUACAAUAAAUAUUUACUAGCUUUUUGUAAUA